GUCUAGUACUCAAGUUUGAUCCUGGCUCAGGAUGAACGCUGGCGGCGUGCUUAACACAUGCAAGUCGAACGAAGCUGUUAGAAGGAAGUCUUCGGAUGGAAUUUUGACAGACUUAGUGGCGGACGGGUGAGUAACGCGUGGAUAACCUGCCUUAUACAGGGGGAUAACGGAGAGAAAUUUCCGCUAACACCGCAUAAGACCACAGCACCGCAUGGUGCAGGGGUAAAAUAUUUAUAGGUAUAAGAUGGAUCCGCGUCCGAUUAGCUAGUUGGUGAGGUAAAGGCCCACCAAGGCGACGAUCGGUAGCCGGCCUGAGAGGGUGAACGGCCACAUUGGGACUGAGACACGGCCCAA
This 354-nucleotide ribosomal RNA is filed under the name uncultured bacterium. RNAcentral's name for it is "bacterial SSU rRNA". It matches the Rfam family "Bacterial small subunit ribosomal RNA", at positions 1 to 334 of the family's 1533-position model. The record is from RNAcentral.